Long non-coding RNA from Triticum dicoccoides, 1937 nucleotides. RefSeq lists it as uncharacterized. NCBI's taxonomy places the organism in Eukaryota, Viridiplantae, Streptophyta, Magnoliopsida, Poales, Poaceae. The transcript is spliced from 8 exons. The record is from RefSeq and is a predicted model, not a curated record.
UCGGUCUCCGCCGCCAACCAGACCUUCGCACGCCCGAUCCAGCCCUACGCCCCCUCCACGGCCGAUCCAUCCCUAUGUCGCGGCCGAUCCAUGCCCUAUGCCGCUGCCGAUGCCUCCUCCUCCACCUCCAUUUCCAAGCGACGGCGCUCGCGGCCGUGGUCUUCUCCCCCAGCCACCAUGGCUGCAGAUCCACUCACGGCCGGUUGUCUAAGCUGCAAGCAUGGAUGGAUGGAUCCAGGAAGGUAUCCUUCCUCCCUGGGUGGGGCGAGCUACACAUCCCAUUCGGCCCUCUGUAGCCGGCCAUCUCCGCCUCCUCCUCGCCGUUGCCGCCGCCGGGGAUCGCGUCUUCACCAAGCGCGAGCUCCGCCCCAUCCGACCGACCGCAAAGGGGUUGUCCAUUGUAAAUUUUCAAGGAGAUUCAAAUGUUCCUCUUCUGGAUGAUUGAAGGGUUACUUGAAGCUAGGGCAAUCCAAGUAAGAUAGCUUCAUCCUCAGGCAACAGGUUUAUGUUAUCUUAUCAUGGAGUCAUUUUUAAGUUUGUGCCCAACGCCUUCAUCCUUAGAAUGGCUGCCCAGAUGGCAAGCCACCGUACUUAGGCGACUGCCGCGCUAGCAGGGUGCUCCAACUUUUGAUGCUGGCGAAGCUUUUGGAAUGAUGGCUACAUAAUUUGUUAGUCUCCGUUGGAAGCUUAAUUAAACUGAGAUUCAGAUGUGUGGCAAAGGAUUUCAAUUUUCCUAUUUACACAAAGGAAACUUGAGGAAGGUUCAGAUUUCUCAUGCUCGGUGUUGUGCUCUCAAGGUUACAUAGACAAGAAUGCCUCCUAUUUACACAACGGCAACCCGACGAAGGAUGACGGGGCGGGUCGGGAGGCGGGGAAAGCCGUCCAUGGCGAUCCUGGUGGCGUUGCUAAUGGCGUUAGUGGCAUUGCCGCUCCUCAUGGUGCCCGGCAUGCUCUCUAUGCCAGGCUCCAACAGCGUGGAUCGCGGCGCCGCCCUGUCGCUCCCACGCCCGUGCUUCAGCAGAUCCGUGUUUGAGUUGUGCAUACCUUUAGCCGCCUCCCCUCCAAUGUCCACGACUCUGAUAUACCGUGUUUGUUAGUCUUGACUGGUGUUUGUUCUCCGUAUUGUUGUGCAGGAGGCUAGAGAACAUCAGGGAGAAAAGGGAGUCGUGGAUGGAGGUUCUGUACUUCUGUUGUAUCAACAUCUUCUCCAUGAGUCUUUUGCCCCCACUCUGUUUUUGGUUUGGGCCGAAACGUCAUCGUCUUGAUUCUUUACGUGGUUCAUUGGCUCAGACUUGUCCUACAUGGCCGAGCGAGAUCGAGGCUAGCCGCCGGUAAUGUUCUUCUCCCGUGCAAGUUCCGCACUGCAUUGAAGCAUCCAACACAUGAUGUAGCUACGUUACAGGUGGGAUAUCAGCCAAGUAUGUUUCGAGGUGAGACAUCCAUCAAGUUUGUUUGGAGAAAUUGUGCAGUCCAGCUCCUGCGUGCUGGUCACCGAGCUCCACUGUGUCCAGCUCAUCCGACUAUGUGCUCCACUGCAUCUAGGUCAACCGAUCUUGUGGCAGAGCUACACUGACGCAAGAGCAAAUAGUUUUACAAUUUCUUUGUUGUUCCUUUGUACUGGAUAACUGUGCAUUUUUAGAGGUGUGAAGAUGUAAUGCAAUAACAGUAACUGGACGUAGGCACAUCCGUCUCGAUAAGCAUUAUGGGAACGGACAAAGGCAAGGCAUUCCAAUGUAAGAAAUGGAUGAAGGCAAGGUAUGUCAUUCUAAAAAAAGGCAAGGCAUACCAGGAUGCUGCAUUGCUUAAUGUCCAGUUCUCUACGCUUUCCCUAUAGCAACCUUUUUUAGAUCUUAUGCGUUGUGUUUUCCUAACAAAAAAAUGUCCAUAUGGAUUCACUAAAACAAGAUUAUAUUAUCAGCAAUUUUGUUUGCAUGUAA